Non-coding RNA from Danionella cerebrum, 73 nucleotides. The record is from the annotation of a GenBank genome assembly. NCBI's taxonomy places the organism in Eukaryota, Metazoa, Chordata, Actinopteri, Cypriniformes, Danionidae.
GUCCCAGUGGCCUAAUGGAGAGAGCACUGCCCUACUAAGCCAAGGAUUGUGGGUUCAAGUCCCUUCUGGGCUG